RNAcentral lists this ribosomal RNA (92 nucleotides) under Hordeum vulgare. The record is from RNAcentral. RNAcentral also lists the same sequence under 1 other name. Lineage: Eukaryota; Viridiplantae; Streptophyta; Magnoliopsida; Poales; Poaceae.
GGAUCCCAUCAGAACUCCGAAGUUAAGCGUGCUUGGGCGAGAGUAGUACUAGGAUAGGUGACCUCCUGGGAAGUCCUCGUGUUGCAUUCCCC